UGCCAGCAGCCGCGGUAAUACGGAGGGUGCAAGCGUUAUUCGGAAUCACUGGGCGUAAAGGACGCGUAGGCGGGUUAAUAAGUCAGAUGUGAAAUCCUAUGGCUCAACCAUAGAACUGCAUUUGAAACUGUUAACCUAGAGUAUGGAAGGGGCAGAUGGAAUUAGUGGUGUAGGGGUAAAAUCCGUAGAUAUCACUAGGAAUACCGAAAGCGAAGGCGAUCUGCUGGGACAUUACUGACGCUGAGGCGUGAAAGCGUGGGGAGCAAACAGGAUUAGAUA
This 279-nucleotide ribosomal RNA is filed under the name uncultured bacterium. RNAcentral's name for it is "partial 16S ribosomal RNA". It matches the Rfam family "Bacterial small subunit ribosomal RNA", at positions 506 to 784 of the family's 1533-position model. The record is from RNAcentral.